Molecule: long non-coding RNA, 344 nt
Filed under: Nicotiana benthamiana
Lineage: Eukaryota; Viridiplantae; Streptophyta; Magnoliopsida; Solanales; Solanaceae
Description: long non-coding RNA (NBEN_LNC002080)
Source: RNAcentral
UGCUUUCAAUACUUAUUUCACCAACAAAUUCCCUGGCACAACUACGCAUCCUAAGCAAUUCAAUCAAAGAGACACCUUUGAUCUCAACAAGACAAACUUAGUGUAUAGAUAUUGCAAGAAACAUGGACAUAUGAUUGACAAGUGCUAUAUACUCCAUGGAUUCCCACCAGAUUUCAAAUAUACAAAGGGCAAGAGGACUGCAGCAAAUGUUGAGGUGCAGGGGUAUCCAAGCUCUGUUUGGUCUCAAAACAAUGUUGAUAGUACUCAGGGGUCCUCUAAAUCAGAGUCUUUGAUUCCUAGUUUAACCAAGGAUCAAUAUUCACAACUUAUGUUGCUGCUUCAAC